RNAcentral lists this ribosomal RNA (301 nucleotides) under uncultured bacterium. RNAcentral describes it as "partial 16S ribosomal RNA". It matches the Rfam family "Bacterial small subunit ribosomal RNA", at positions 509 to 809 of the family's 1533-position model. The record is from RNAcentral.
CAGCCGCCACGGUAAUACGUAGGUGGCAAGCGUUGUCCGGAAUUAUUGGGCGUAAAGGGCUCGCAGGCGGUCUCUUAAGUCUGAUGUGAAAGCCCCCGGCUCAACCGGGGAGGGUCAUUGGAAACUGGGAAACUUGAGUGCAGAAGAGGAGAGUGGAAUUUCACGUGUAGCGGUGAAAUGCGUAGAGAUGUGGAGGAACACCAGUGGCGAAGGCGACUCUCUGGUCUGUAACUGACGCUGAGGAGCGAAAGCGUGGGGAGCGAACAGGAUUAGAUACCCGUGUAGUCCCUGUCUCUUAUAA